UGUAGAAACCCAGAGAGAGAGAGAGAGAGAGAGAGAGAGAGAGAGAGAGAGAGAUGAAGAAGAAGAGCUUUGGGAUUGGAUGUUCAUGGCUUGUGUUGAUAGUGAUUGCCUCUCUCCUUUGGGCAACUCCAUCUUCAGCUGCUGCUUCAUUUCAAAGAGUGGAGCAAACUGUUUUUCCUCAAGCGGGUGCUGCUGGUUCAACAGGACCCCACUUCUCGUAUGUGGAAAGGCAUGCUGUGUUGAUGGAUGUUGUAGCUUGCCUUAAAUAAAUGCCAUGCAUCCUCAAGAAUCCCCUCAUACAUGUUCACCUCUAUAUUAACCAUAUUUCCCCCUUUUUAUCUUUAUUUUAUUUUACUUGGUCCUUCAUGCUUGUGUGCCCAAAUUAAGGUUGUUCCUUAACGAGAAAUUUGAGGGAAAUCGUUUAGCGCAAA
Molecule: long non-coding RNA, 431 nt
Organism: Rhodamnia argentea
Lineage: Eukaryota; Viridiplantae; Streptophyta; Magnoliopsida; Myrtales; Myrtaceae
Exons: 2
Source: RefSeq, a predicted model, not a curated record